CUUGAGAGCGGCGGACGGGUGAGUAAUGCCUAGGAAUCUGCCUGGUAGUGGGGGAUAACGUUCGGAAACGGACGCUAAUACCGCAUACGUCCUACGGGAGAAAGCAGGGGACCUUCGGGCCUUGCGCUAUCAGAUGAGCCUAGGUCGGAUUAGCUAGUUGGUGGGGUAAUGGCUCACCAAGGCGACGAUCCGUAACUGGUCUGAGAGGAUGAUCAGUCACACUGGAACUGAGACACGGUCCAGACUCCUACGGGAGGCAGCAGUGGGGAAUAUUGGACAAUGGGCGAAAGCCUGAUCCAGCCAUGCCGCGUGUGUGAAGAAGGUCUUCGGAUUGUAAAGCACUUUAAGUUGGGAGGAAGGGCAGUAAAUUAAUACUUUGCUGUUUUGACGUUACCGACAGAAUAAGCACCGGCUAACUCUGUGCCANCAGCCGCGGUAAUACAGAGGGUGCAAGCGUUAAUCGGAAUUACUGGGCGUAAAGCGCGCGUAGGUGGUUCGUUAAGUUGGAUGUGAAAUCCCCGGGCUCAACCUGGGAACUGCAUUUCAAAACUGACGAGCUAGAGUAUGGGAGAGGGUGGGUGGAAAUUUCCCUGUGUAGCGGUGAAAUGCGUAGAUAUNGGAAGGGAACACNAGUGGCGAAGGCGACCACCUGGACUGAUACUGACACUGAGGUGCGAAAGCGUGGGAGCAAACAGGAUUAGAUACCCUGGUAGUCCACGCCGUAACGAUGUCAACUAGCCG
Molecule: ribosomal RNA, 741 nt
Filed under: uncultured Pseudomonas sp.
Lineage: Bacteria; Pseudomonadati; Pseudomonadota; Gammaproteobacteria; Pseudomonadales; Pseudomonadaceae
Description: bacterial SSU rRNA
Rfam family: Bacterial small subunit ribosomal RNA
Source: RNAcentral